GACGAACGCUGUCGGCGUGCUUAACACAUGCAAGUCGAACGGAAAGGCCCUGCUUUUGUGGGGUGCUCGAGUGGCGAACGGGUGAGUAACACGUGAGUAACCUGCCCUUGACUUUGGGAUAACUUCAGGAAACUGGGGCUAAUACCGGAUAGGAGCUCCUGCUGCAUGGUGGGGGUUGGAAAGUUUCGGCGGUUGGGGAUGGACUCGCGGCUUAUCAGCUUGUUGGUGGGGUAGUGGCUUACCAAGGCUUUGACGGGUAGCCGGCCUGAGAGGGUGACCGGCCACAUUGGGACUGAGAUACGGCCCAGACUCCUACGGGAGGCAGCAGUGGGGAAUAUUGCACAAUGGGCGGAAGCCUGAUGCAGCAACGCCGCGUGCGGGAUGACGGCCUUCGGGUUGUAAACCGCUUUCGCCUGUGACGAAGCGUGAGUGACGGUAAUGGGUAAAGAAGCACCGGCUAACUACGUGCCAGCAGCCGCGGUGAUACGUAGGGUGCGAGCGUUGUCCGGAUUUAUUGGGCGUAAAGGGCUCGUAGGUGGUUGAUCGCGUCGGAAGUGUAAUCUUGGGGCUUAACCCUGAGCGUGCUUUCGAUACGGGUUGACUUGAGGAAGGUAGGGGAGAAUGGAAUUCCUGGUGGAGCGGUGGAAUGCGCAGAUAUCAGGAGGAACACCAGUGGCGAAGGCGGUUCUCUGGGCCUUUCCUGACGCUGAGGAGCGAAAGCGUGGGGAGCGAACAGGCUUAGAUACCCUGGUAGUCCACGCUGUAAACGGUGGGUACUAGGUGUGGGGUCCAUUCCACGGGUUCCGUGCCGUAGCUAACGCUUUAAGUACCCCGCCUGGGGAGUACGGCCGCAAGGCUAAAACUCAAAGGAAUUGACGGGGCCCCGCACAAGCGGCGGAGCAUGCGGAUUAAUUCGAUGCAACGCGUAGAACCUUACCUGGGUUUGACAUGGAUCGGGGGUGCUCAGAGAUGGGUGUGCCUCUUUUGGGGUCGGUUCACAGGUGGUGCAUGCCUGUCGUCAGCUCGUGUCGUGAGAUGUUGGGUUAAGUCCCGCAACGAGCGCAACCCUUGUUCACUGUUGCCAGCACGUUAUGGUGGGGACUCAGUGGAGACCGCCGGGGUCAACUCGGAGGAAGGUGGGGAUGACGUCAAGUCCUCAUGCCCCUUAUGUCCAGGGCUUCACGCAUGCUACAAUGGCUGGUACAGAGAGUGGCGAGCCUGUGAGGGUGAGCGAAUCUCGGAAAGCCGGUCUCAGUUCGGAUUGGGGUCUGCAACUCGACCUCAUGAAGUCGGAGUCGCUAGUAAUCGCAGAUCAGCAACGCUGCGGUGAAUACGUUCCCGGG
This 1343-nucleotide ribosomal RNA is filed under the name uncultured bacterium. RNAcentral's name for it is "16S ribosomal RNA". It matches the Rfam family "Bacterial small subunit ribosomal RNA", at positions 28 to 1378 of the family's 1533-position model. The record is from RNAcentral.